AGAGGAUUAGACCUGGUAGUCCAUGCCGUAAACGAUGUGUGUUAGACGUUGGAAAUUUAUUUUCAGUGUCGCAGCGAAAGCAGUAAACACACCGCCUGGGGAGUACGACCGCAAGGUUAAAACUCAAAUGAAUUGACGGGGACCCGCACAAGUAGUGGAGCAUGUGGUUUAAUUCGAAGAUACGCGCAGAACCUUACCAACACUUGACAUGUUCGUCGCGGCUCUAAGAGAUUAGAGCUUUCGGUUCGGCCGGACGAAACACAGGUGCUGCAUGGCUGUCGUCAGCUCGUGCCG
This 294-nucleotide ribosomal RNA is filed under the name uncultured bacterium. RNAcentral describes it as "partial 16S ribosomal RNA". It matches the Rfam family "Bacterial small subunit ribosomal RNA", at positions 772 to 1067 of the family's 1533-position model. The record is from RNAcentral.